Molecule: unclassified non-coding RNA, 25 nt
Filed under: Mus musculus (house mouse)
Lineage: Eukaryota; Metazoa; Chordata; Mammalia; Rodentia; Muridae
Description: oocyte_clustered_small_RNA9960
Source: RNAcentral
UGAUUGACGAAAUGGAAUAGGAUGG